ACCUACGGGGGGCAGCAGUAGGGAAUUUUCGUCAAUGGGCGCAAGCCUGAACGAGCAAUGCCGCGUGAACGAGGAAGGUCUUCGGAUCGUAAAGUUCUGUUGAAGGGGAAAAAGAGCGGAGAGGGGAAAUGGUCUCCGAUUGAUAUUACCCUUCGAGGAAGUCACGGCUAACUACGUGCCAGCAGCCGCGGUAAUACGUAGGUGGCGAGCGUUAUCCGGAAUGAUUGGGCGUAAAGGGUGCGUAGGCGGCCUGCUAAGUCUGGAGUGAAAGGUACCGGCUCAACCGGUACAGGCUCUGGAAACUG
Molecule: ribosomal RNA, 305 nt
Filed under: uncultured bacterium
Lineage: Bacteria
Description: bacterial SSU rRNA
Rfam family: Bacterial small subunit ribosomal RNA
Source: RNAcentral